UACGUAGGGGGCUAGCGUUGUCCGGAAUCAUUGGGCGUAAAGAGCGUGUAGGCGGUCCGGUAAGUCCGCUGUGAAAGUCGGGGGCUCAACCCUCGAAUGCCGGUGGAUACUGUCGGGCUAGAGUGCGGAAGAGGCGAGUGGAAUUCCCGGUGUAGCAGUGAAAUGCGUAGAUAUCGGGAGGAACAUCUGUGGCGAAGGCGACACCCUGGACCAGCACUGACACUGAGGCACGAAAGCGUGGGGAGCAAACAGG
Molecule: ribosomal RNA, 253 nt
Filed under: uncultured bacterium
Lineage: Bacteria
Description: partial 16S ribosomal RNA
Rfam family: Bacterial small subunit ribosomal RNA
Source: RNAcentral